Molecule: non-coding RNA, 45 nt
Filed under: Schistosoma margrebowiei
Lineage: Eukaryota; Metazoa; Platyhelminthes; Trematoda; Strigeidida; Schistosomatidae
Source: RNAcentral
AUCCAGCUGACGAGCCCAAAAUUGGAAGAAACGCGCGUCCUGUAU